AUUGAACGCUGGCGGCAUGCCUUACACAUGCAAGUCGAACGGUAACGGGUCCUUCGGGAUGCCGACGAGUGGCGAACGGGUGAGUAAUAUAUCGGAACGUGCCCAGUAGUGGGGGAUAACUGCUCGAAAGAGCAGCUAAUACCACAUACGACCUGAGGGUGAAAGGGGGGGAUCGCAAGACCUCUCGCUAUUGGAGCGGCCGAUAUCAGAUUAGCUAGUUGGUGGGGUAAAGGCCUACCAAGGCAACGAUCUGUAGUUGGUCUGAGAGGACGACCAGCCACACUGGGACUGAGACACGGCCCAGACUCCUACGGGAGGCUGCAGUGGGGAAUUUUGGACAAUGGGCGCAAGCCUGAUCCAGCAAUGCCGCGUGCAGGAAGAAGGCCUUCGGGUUGUAAACUGCUUUUGUCAGGGAAGAAAUCUUCUGGGCUAAUACCCCGGGAGGAUGACGGUACCUGAAGAAUAAGCACCGGCUAACUACGUGCCAGCAGCCGCGGUAA
Molecule: ribosomal RNA, 500 nt
Filed under: uncultured bacterium
Lineage: Bacteria
Description: partial 16S ribosomal RNA
Rfam family: Bacterial small subunit ribosomal RNA
Source: RNAcentral